Molecule: ribosomal RNA, 206 nt
Filed under: uncultured Staphylococcus sp.
Lineage: Bacteria; Bacillati; Bacillota; Bacilli; Caryophanales; Staphylococcaceae
Description: partial 16S ribosomal RNA
Rfam family: Bacterial small subunit ribosomal RNA
Source: RNAcentral
AACCGGAGCUAAUACGGAUAAUAUAUUGAACCGCAUGGUUCAAUGGUGAAAGACGGUUUUGCUGUCACUUAUAGAUGGAUCCGCGCCGCAUUAGCUAGUUGGUAAGGUAACGGCUUACCAAGGCAACGAUGCGUAGCCGACCUGAGAGGGUGAUCGGCCACACUGGAACUGAGACACGGUCCAGACUCCUACGGGAGGCAGCAGAA